UCAGGAUGAACGCUGGCGGCGUGCCUAACACAUGCAAGUCGAACGAAGCACUUACCGGAACUCCUUCGGGAAGGAAGAAAAGUGACUGAGUGGCGGACGGGUGAGUAACGCGUGGAUAACCUGCCCCGCACCGGGGGACAACAGCUGGAAACGGCUGCUAAUACCGCAUAAGCGCACAGUGCCGCAUGGCACGGUGUGAAAAACUCCGGUGGUGCGGGAUGGAUCCGCGUCUGAUUAGCUGGUUGGCGGGGCAAUGGCCCACCAAGGCGACGAUCAGUAGCCGGCCUGAGAGGGCGAUCGGCCACAUUGGGACUGAGACACGGCCCAGACUCCUACGGGAGGCAGCAGUGGGGAAUAUUGCACAAUGGGGGAAACCCUGAUGCAGCCGACGCCGCGUGAGCGAUGAAGUAUUUCGGUAUGUAAAGCUCUAUCAGCAGGGAAGAUAAUGACGGUACCUGACUAAGAAGCUCCGGCUAAAUACGUGCCAGCCGCCGC
Molecule: ribosomal RNA, 495 nt
Filed under: uncultured bacterium
Lineage: Bacteria
Description: bacterial SSU rRNA
Rfam family: Bacterial small subunit ribosomal RNA
Source: RNAcentral